UGAUCAGAGACGUUAAAAGUGAUAGGCCUCC
This 31-nucleotide non-coding RNA is filed under the name Mus musculus (house mouse). The record is from RNAcentral. Lineage: Eukaryota; Metazoa; Chordata; Mammalia; Rodentia; Muridae.